GUGUGUGUGUGUGUGGCUUAAACAUGACUGGGCCAAAAAGAACUUGGCAGCAAGUAAAAGUCAAAUACAUGAACAUCUUGCAGAAUGCCGUCAAAAAGAGAGGCCAAAUACAAAGAACGGGUGGUGGGUCACCUCCCACCGCCCUCACCCCAGCCGAAGACAUGGCCUUAUCACAAAAUAAAGGCAGGCCAGUUUUGGAGGGGAUCCUUGGGGGGACAGAAACAAAUGCAUGUCCCUCCCAAGAGGCUAACCGCUUCAUACAAGUUUCUGGCAGAAUAUACAGCCUUCAUGGAGGACAUUCUCAAAAAGGGUUAUGCAGAAAAGGUUCCACUUCAACAACUUCACAGAGAGGAUGGGAGGGUCUGGUAC
Notolabrus celidotus (New Zealand spotty) is the source of this 369-nucleotide long non-coding RNA. RefSeq lists it as uncharacterized. The record is from RefSeq and is a predicted model, not a curated record. The transcript has 3 exons. NCBI's taxonomy places the organism in Eukaryota, Metazoa, Chordata, Actinopteri, Labriformes, Labridae.